GCGGGCUGAGGCGGGGAGCCAGAGAUGACCGCCGCCGGGGCGGUCAGCGCGGGGCUCGAAGCGCGGAGACGGCCCCUCUGCUCCGUGUCCCCACCCUCCAUCUCGGGUCUAGAAUCUGGCCGCCUCCAGCCGCCCCCACCCCUUGCCCGGCGCACCGUGUUCCACCGCCCGUGAGUGUGACUGGGAUGAUUCUCUGUGAAGCCCGGAUCCAGUCCCCUUCUCCCCGCCCGACACGGAGUAACAAGGGAGAGGUGUGGCCCGCUGGGAGGGAAUCUUGCCCAAGCACUCCUGUUCUCCAGGACCACCUAUGGUUGCAGCCCUCAGUGCCUGCUGCCUGCCUCUUCCCUGGAGGUCAAGGGUCCCGGCAGGGUUGGGAGAAGCCAGGAGGCUGGUGGCUCUCGAGAGAUCUGUGGCUUCCCGUUGAGCAGUCGUCACCCUUCCCUGCCUGAAGCUGAAGGAGGGGGCUGUCCACAGCCCAGGCUGGAUCAGGUGUCAGGAGACGUAAGGAGAUGCGGGUUCAAUCCUUGAGUCGGGAAGACCCAUGGAGGAGGGCAUGGCAACCCACUGCAAGAUUCUUGCCUGGAGAAUCCCAUGGACAGAGGAGCCUGGUGGACUACAGUCCAUGGGAUUGCGAAGAGUCGGACACGACUGAAGUGCCUUAGCACACACGCAAGGGGGUUGUCUGCCCAGGAACUGCCCUGACAGUUGUCUGGUCUGCAGGUGUGGUCAGCCUUCUCCCGCUGGUGGGAAGCCACUGCCUUUCCUGCCACAUGUUCCUCACCAAGAGGAUCUCCCAGCUCCUGGGUGACGCUGUCCAGACCUCCUCAACACCCAGCGCCACCACCCACUUCUUUGGCCAGUCUUUGCCGAGGCUGGUCAGUCUUUGCCGAGGCUGGCCUGUCUUUGGCUCCAGGAUGGCCCGCCAUCCAGUUGGAGCCACAGAUGAAAAGCAAUGCCAGUGUCCAGCUGCCCCAUGUGCCCAGAACCAGCAGCUCUGGAACCCCAGCCCCCGAGUACAUUCUUGCAGUGGGAUCAUUUCGGGGGUGGGGGGGGUGGCACUUUGAUUGGCGUUUACCAAGGCCCUCUCUUGCACCCUUUUCCUUUGAGUUGUUAGUCUUUUCUUAUUGACUGGUUCAAGUUCUCUAUACAUUAAUGAUAUGAGCCC
Molecule: long non-coding RNA, 1165 nt
Organism: Budorcas taxicolor (takin)
Lineage: Eukaryota; Metazoa; Chordata; Mammalia; Artiodactyla; Bovidae
Exons: 5
Source: RefSeq, a predicted model, not a curated record